Molecule: long non-coding RNA, 1423 nt
Filed under: Homo sapiens (human)
Lineage: Eukaryota; Metazoa; Chordata; Mammalia; Primates; Hominidae
Description: HSALNT0144741
Source: RNAcentral
AGAGAGGGCCAGAGCUUGGGGAGUGAUUACAAACUCAGAUCAGCUGGGACCAGGGCCCCGGAAGAAGGAAGAUAGCAUGUGAAUAAUUAGGGUCUGAAAGUUCGUGCAUUUCUACAAGAGAAGAAGAACUAAGAAGAUGGUCAUGGUCCCAACCACCAAGAACCUCCUUUGGUUACACAUGGGAGACACCAGGAGGGAGCAGAAUGACCUAAAGAUUUAGAUUCAGAUUCAAGUCUGAUCUUACCUGAGAGAGCUGGCAGAGAUUCACGGACAUCGCUAAUAUCUGCUGAGCUAUCCAGACACUGGGUGCUCAGAAACGUCAAAUGUUUCUGCUCAAACAUGAAUAAUUUCUAGGUGGCUGCACACCCAUCUCAGGAGUGACUCGUGAGGGAGAUUUUAGCAUCACAAAGGAAAGUGGCACUGUGAGCCUGGGAUCUGUGGCCCUCCCUCCACCUCCGGUGUGGAUGGAGUGGUGCUGUGAUGUGCCUGGUACAGGGCAUUUGCAUAAGUAGCCUGCCCUGCGUCACUCAUCAUGCCAGACUCUGAGAAUCAACUGUAGACAACACAAGGUCCUUGCCUUUCAAGAGCUUAAUAUGUAGUUGGGGGAUCAGGCAUGGAAAUCGGCAAGAACAAACCAGGCAAUGCCGGGGGUCUGCGGGAACAAAGAGGAGCCUCCGACAUAUUUCCUAGGUGGUGGCUGUCAAGGAUGCCUUCUUAAAGGAGAGAGAGUCUAAGCUGAGUCUGAAGGAAUCUCCACAUGCAGACCUGAGGGAAGGGCAAUCAGAAAGGGAGAGCAACAUGCAGAGACUUGGAGACAAGAAGUAGCAAGGAAGAGAAAGGAACCGCAGGGCUGGAACAAGAGGCCAAGGGGUGAGGUGGUGUCCGUUGAGGCUUGGGAGAUGGUAGGGUUACACGUUUGAGAGUUUUGCAAGCCAGUCUUUUCCUCUAACAGAAGGCCAUAGGAAGUCACAGAAAGGUCUAGACCUGGGCAGGAUGCUCUCCCCAGCUGUGAUAGAGGCCAGGUUAGCGAGAUCCAACAAAGAUUUUAUGGCCUCUUAGGAGGCUCUGCAGAGAUGCUUGACUUCAGGUAAUGAGAGGUGGGAAAAAGAGAAGGACAGAGAAGAAAUAGUGUGAGAAGGAAUAGUAGAGAGGAACAGAAGGAAGGUAUCAGAGAAAUGAACAGAUUGCUUCCUAUCUCACAAAAAUAUCAGUGAGACAUUCUAGGGACCUUUGACCAUUGAUAGGUCAAGAGGAAGGAGGGGUCAUGGUUGAUACUCAGGCUUUCUUUCCAUCCUCCCACCGUGAGAGAAGAAGGCAAGGACUAAUAAACCAGGCUCUGAAUUGAUGUCCCUGCCUCUAUUCUGCUUCCCAGUGUCUACUGUGCACAAGGCAGCCAGAGAGAUCUUUAUAAAACUAAAAUCAG